CCGGCGGCGUAGGAUAGCUCUGCGGCCUAUCAGGUUGUAGCGAGGGUAACGUCCUCGCUAGCCUACGACGGGUAUGGGUGUUGGGAGACAUCGCCCAGAGAUGGAUUCUGAGACACGAAUCCAGGCCCUACGGGGCGCAGCAGGCGCGAAAACUGCACAAUGUGGGAAACCACGAUGCGGGAAACCCAAGUGCCAGCGCUAUGCGUUGGCUGUCCUCCAGUGUUCGUAACUGGGGAAGAAAGUGCUGGGUAAGACGGGUGCCAGCCGCCGCGGUAAUACCCGCAGCACAAGUGGUGGUCAUUAUUAUUGGGCCUAAAGCGUCCGUAGCUGGCUUGUUAGAUGCCUGGGUAAAUCGAUGCGCUCAACGCAUCGAACUCCGGGUAGACCGGCAAGCUUGGGACCGGGAGAGGCGUGAGCUACUCGAGGGGUAGGGGUAAAAUCCUGUAAUCCUUCGGGGAGGACCAGUGGCGAAGGCGUCACGCUAGAACGGCUCCGACAGUGAGGGACGAAGCCCUGGGGCGCAAACCGGAUUAGAUACCCGGGUAGUCCAGGGUGUAAACGCUGCAGACUUGGUGUCGGUGAUCCUACGAGGGUUGCCGGUGCCGUAGAGAAGUUGUUUAGUCUGCCGCCUGGGGAGUACGGUCGCAAGACUGAAACUUAAAGGAAUU
RNAcentral lists this ribosomal RNA (668 nucleotides) under uncultured archaeon. RNAcentral describes it as "bacterial SSU rRNA". It matches the Rfam family "Archaeal small subunit ribosomal RNA", at positions 196 to 866 of the family's 1478-position model. The record is from RNAcentral.